UUAGAAUGCAUCAAAGAAUUCAUACAGGAGACAAACCUUACAAAUGUGGUGAAUGUGAUAAAUGUUUUACCCAGAAAUGCAGUCUGAGAAUUCACCAGAGAAGUCAUACAGGAGAAAAACCUUACAAAUGUGGUAAUUGUGAGAGGUCCUUUACAAGUGGCUCAUAUCUUAGAAUACAUCAGAGAAUUCAUAAAGGAGAGAAACCUUACAAAUGUAGUGAAUGUGACAAAUCUUUUACCCAGAAAGGCUAUCUUCGAAUUCAUCAGAGAAUUCAUAAAGGAGAAAAACCUUACAAAGGUAAUAAAUGUGAAAAAUCCUUUACCCAGAAACGCUGACUUGUGAAACUCAUCAGAGAAUUCAUAUAGGAGAAAAACCUUAAAUGCAGGGAAUGUAGCAAAUCCCUUGACAGGAGGAAAAACUGUAUUAGAACUUAUUAGGAAUUUCAUACAAGAAAUAAAACAUAUAAAUGUAUAGAAUUUGAUAAAUUGUUUAACCAGAAGAGCUGUCUUAGAAUUCAUCAGAGACUUCAUUCUAGAAACUUUAUAAAUGCAGUGAAUGUGGCAAAUCCUUUACCAAGACAAACUACCUUAGACCUCAUCAGAGAAAACAAGAGAGAAAUGUUAUAUGUUUAGUGAAUAUACAAAUCCUUAACUAUUGACACAUCUCCUAGAAUGCACCAAAGAAUCCAGACAGGAGAGAAACUUUACAGUUGGAGUUUAUGAGAAGUCUUUACACAUAUCUCAUGUCUUAGAAAACAUCUGAAAAUUUAUAGUGGGAGAAAGUCUCUCUAUAAAGUCAUGUUCUUUAAGAAACUUGAGCAUCCACACUAGAGAAAUAUGAUGGUCAUAAACUUGUGAAAACCUUGAGUAAUGUUCACAUCUAAGAAUAUAUCAAGAGUUUAUGUUAAGGGAAAAUCAGAAAAUGACAAUGUAGGAAAUAUUUUUAUUAAAAUGUUUUACUUGUUAAACUUCAUACUUUAACUUUUAGUGAAUCUUUGAACUUUGCUCAAACUUUAGUAAACUUGUUCAUCCUCCAAUAAUCCAUAAUGAAGACAAAAUGAAGAAACCAGCAGAAUAUGGUAUUGUGUAACAAUUUUCUGCAGACUGAAAUGAUCUAUUCUGAAGGGAUUGUGAUUAAGGCAGCAAAUACAUACCUCAAAAAUAGUUUCAAGAAAUCCCUGAAGUGACAGCAUUCUCUGCUUAAGUCAAAUAAUUAAAUCCAGACAAAUUAUGCCUCUUAAAAGAGGAUUUGACAAAGUGCUGGCAAAGUAAGAUGGAUUUACUAAAUAAAUUAUUACUCAUUAGUUUUUCCAUCUGAGAUGUAUAUGUACUAGGAUAUAAAACUACUCAGACAUGUGUAAUAUAUGCUAAAUUGUUAAUAUUACCCCUUAUGGUGUAAAAAACUUUACUAUGUAUGCUGUGAGAAUAUCAAGCUGUACUACAUUUACAGUUAGAAAUCAGUAUACAUUAGGACAAAAUUCAAAACCAUCUUUUAAACAAUGCCUGCAUCUAUCCCUGUCCUACCACCUAGGUCUUCUCUACCUCCCCUAUUUAAUCAACCUCCUACCAGCUCUUUUCUACUACCCAUUGUCUUUUCAAAACCCUAGACCUUUCCUCAGAUCCUUGUUCUGGGGUGACAUAUCCUUCUGUCCUUGCUCCCUUAGAGACAUUUUCUAACAAUUGUUACCUGUAUGUCUGUGGGGGUAUGUUGGAAUAGGUGGUGUCUUUGGUAGGAAGUAUGUCUCUAGGGGUGAGCUUUAAGGCCCUACUCUUUGUUGCCUG
This 1781-nucleotide long non-coding RNA is filed under the name Rattus norvegicus (Norway rat). RNAcentral's name for it is "long non-coding RNA NONRATT002231". The record is from RNAcentral. Lineage: Eukaryota; Metazoa; Chordata; Mammalia; Rodentia; Muridae.